This 3369-nucleotide long non-coding RNA is filed under the name Canis lupus familiaris (dog). Its description in RNAcentral is "lncRNA (ENSCAFG00000052741.1)". Lineage: Eukaryota; Metazoa; Chordata; Mammalia; Carnivora; Canidae. The record is from RNAcentral.
UUUUUUUUUUUUUUUUUUUUUAAGUAUAAAAUUUAGACUCCAUUUCCCUCAUAAAGCCACUGGGCCCUGACUGGACAACAGUGACAGUCUGAUUCCUCUGAUUCUAAAACAGAUUUUAAACCUGAUAGUAACUCACCAUGUUGGGGUAAAAUGUAUAUUACACAUGGUUACAUGAACUUUGUUUUUUAAAGGUUGAUACCCUCUUUAGUUUAUGAGAGGUACAUUGUAAGGGGCUGCAUUUAUCUGAAUUUCACCUUCAGCUGGUCCCACAGCUGCCCGAGGUCAGAAAGUUUCCCAUGAUCCAUUUUUUGAUUCUGAAUUGACAAACUUGGAAGCAGGUGAAUGAACUGUAUCAGCCUCCUGGACCUUGAAGUUGACCGACCACUAAUAGCCUAUGUUAGUACGUUAGGGAAACCUUUUAAUUGUACAUGAAGAUUUGCUGUUACAUUUUGACUGUAUUUUGGGGGCUUCUGGAAACCAUGCUAUUUUCCUUGUAAACUGCCCUUGUCUUCCUCAGUGGAAGGAGAGUUGAGGUGUCUAUGUAGGGGAUGUGUUACUGGGACUUUAUCUAUCUGCCUCUCUUUAGCAGUGUAGGUGGCUCCCAGCAUCUGUGUUGUGGGUACAUGAGGUCAGGGAAGGAUACUUAGCAGCCUCUGGAAGAGAUGGACUUCUUGGCAAAUAUUUAUUGAAUUAUGAUAGAGGCAGACAUGGAAAACCAGUUCAGAGCUUGGCCUUUAGAUGCCUCUUAUCCUGGAAAUAAAAUUAUUUUCACUGUGAGAGAGAGGGCCUUGGACCAAAGCUUCCUGAGGACUUGAAUAUAUUUUUUCUCACUCUCUUUUAUUAAUCCUGUCACUAAUGCAGUACCUGAAUACAGAUUAAAAGCUUUAGGAGGCCUUCAAUAGGCAGGACUCAGAACCAUUCCCCCUCUCGCAAGCCAAAAAGUAUUUCUGGGGGACAGAAUAUCAGGAAAUUGUUAACAGUAGGUAAGCAUUAUCUAGAUGGGAAUUUUGGGAAAGCUCACAGACACAUUUACUUGGCACCUAUGACCAAAGACUUAUAUUGAAGACCCCAUUCACUGGUUUGAUUGACCUCAGAAGCUCUGAGAAAGAUGUUAGGAGCUCAGUAUCAACAGUGGAAACAGGUAUUGGGUUUGAGCAAUGGUCCUCUAUACUAGGGAUGAUUUGUGUGUGUGUGUGUGUUUGUGUGUGUGUGUAAACUCAAAAAUGUUCUGUGUUAUCAUUUGGCCUAAGGAAGAUAAAGGAAAAGACGUCACUAACAAGUAUAAAUCUUGGUGGGAACAAGGGGACCCCCUUUUAAAAUUUGAAUGUCUCUGGUCCUGGGUCCACUAUAAAUAACCAUAUGUCAUGGUCAUGGUUGUGGUGCUGUCUCACACAGAAACUCUGUAGAGCAAAGUCUCCUGCAAAGCCAAAAAGAAAUCAGUCCCUUUCAUGCAACUGUAAUUCUUCCAUGACUUGAUUCACUUUAUAAUGUUCUGUUUGUGAAUUAUGAUGGUUCUCACUCCUUGUGUGAGAAUGUAUGAACUUUGGAAAUUUGAAUCUAUCCAAGUAAGCCACCUGUGGAUUUGGAGUUUUUGCAGAAGAGUUCUAAACUCAAAGCCCAGUCCACAGAUCUGGUUCUAAGCCUUCUUACUUGGGGUUUCCUCUGUACUUGUUCCAGACCACAUAGGUAAUAGCCUCGUUUCUGAGGGCAGCCUAAAACUUCUUCCCCUUAUAUCUUUUCUGACUUACCAUACUAUUUCGGUCUGUCCUGGUGCUAUGGCCUAUCACAAAGGACUGUUUUAAAAGAGAAACAAUCUACAGCCUUGGUGGACAAGUCCUCAACACCAGCAGUCAAGUGUGAACCCUGAGUCAUAGGAAGCAAGAGUCUCUAUUUGGGGGGACAAAGGAUGACACUGCCUAGUGAGAUGAUGCCACUAUUGCUGAUGGGGGUGCCUGUUCUCAGGAUGUGUGGAAACUCAGUCAUGACAGGUUUCUACAUGAUUUAGUCAACCUAACUGCAUUCCUCGCUUGGCAGAAUGGAGGUUAGCAAAUAGUGCUGGAAGGAUGAGGAUUUACCUUUGGGGUAAAUCAAAUCACGCAGCAGAUGACUCAAGGACCCCCAUACAAAGUUCAGACAAAGUUAAAACUGGACAGUUCCUUAUCUCCUUUUGUAAGAAGGCUCUACGGAAUUGUAGUUUGAAUGCUUCUUUUGAGAUUUUAAGUGCUCAUUUCUUCUUCCUUUCUUCCCUUUUUUGGUUGAAUAUUCUCUAAAGACAAUCAGAGGCCUGCCAGGGUGGGACUUCUGGCUGGUUCCAGCACUGUCCUUAGGCCUUUUUCUAAUACUAACUUAUUGGAACUGAUGCACUUUGUUUAUGCUUUUUUUUUUUUUUUUAAAGCUGCUUGUUUGGAAUGAAACAAAAUGCAUAUUGCAUUGUAUCCUUCCUGCUUGCUGUUCUUCUUUUAAUUUUAAAAGUUAUGCAUUGAGGAUAAAGUAUAACUAAGGAGAAAUAUGCACAAGAAUACCUAUUAAAAUAACUCCCAUCAAGUUUGAUGGGUAUAACUUCAAGGGAUUAAAAAAUAAUUAUUUUGGAUGAAUAUUUUGCGUGGGGUUUUUUGUAAAUAAGAGUGUAUAAUAACUUGUGGUAUAUUAUGACAGUUUUAAGUGGUUGUAAGAGAAUUAAAACAGGUCUUAAGCUAUGUUUAACUUCAUUUGACAGCAAAGAAGACAUCUUGGCCAGAGUAAAUUCUUCAAAACUCUUUCCAUUGGGGCCUCAGAAUCAUCUCUGAAGAGAGGAGAAAGUUCCUUUUUACUUCAAAAAAAAUGAAACUUUCCAGAAUUCUCCCCCCUCUCCUGCUGUCUGAUCUUUACCCUUUGGAUUUAGGUACUUUUGAAUUGCAUUUUAGGAAAGGUAGGAAGAGCAGAAUAUCCCCACAGCGACAUUGCUCCUGGCAUUGGGGAAUCUGCCCUGAUCUCGGAAGAAUGCUUCUUGUUUGCCUACAUUUGCCUUGGUACAGCAGCAACGGGCCUUAAGGAUCCCUUCACAUCUGGAUGAGCAAAGCAGUGCUUUGCAAAAACUUCAUUCUUCAGCUCUGUGUGCAACUUUCCUUAAGCUGCCUGUAUCUACAAGCAAUUAACAGUCUCCUUAUACUCAGCCCACAAUCUCUUCUGCUUUAAGUACAUAUCCUCUCGUUUGGUUCCCUCUGAACCCGAACUGUAACUGUUGAGCAUCCCCAUAAGACACCUUCUUAGACUUAAAGACAGUAAUGCAAUUUUCCCUUACCUAUUUAUUUUCUUAACCUGAUUUUCUGUAUUUUCCCAUGGUCAAUACUUGUGGAGAGUUUUAAAUUUUAUAAAUUAAAAUUCAGUUUA